UACGAAGGGGGCUAGCGUUGCUCGGAAUCACUGGGCGUAAAGCGCACGUAGGCGGAUCUUUAAGUCAGGGGUGAAAUCCCAAGGCUCAACCUUGGAACUGCCUUUGAUACUGGGGAUCUCGAGUCCGGAAGAGGUUGGUGGAACUGCGAGCGUAGAGGUGAAAUUCGUAGAUAUUCGCAAGAACACCAGUGGCGAAGGCGGCCAACUGGGCCGGUACUGACGCUGAGGUGCGAAAGCGUGGGGAGCAAACAGG
Molecule: ribosomal RNA, 253 nt
Filed under: uncultured bacterium
Lineage: Bacteria
Description: partial 16S ribosomal RNA
Rfam family: Bacterial small subunit ribosomal RNA
Source: RNAcentral